Molecule: long non-coding RNA, 3087 nt
Filed under: Apis florea (little honeybee)
Lineage: Eukaryota; Metazoa; Arthropoda; Insecta; Hymenoptera; Apidae
Description: uncharacterized LOC116414029, transcript variant X2
Source: RNAcentral
AAUUGUUUUAAUCAUACAUUUUUUUUUUAAUCUACCAUCUUUAUACAUUUUCACUGAUUUGAAAGUUUCGAAUCGAAAAAUUUCAAUCCUAUCUUCCCUGAUUGCAGGUACAUUUACAGCAAUUUGCACCAAGAAUGGUGCGUAAAUUUCACCAAACCCCUAUCAAUAUUCCGUUGACAUAUUGGCCGAAAGAGAGAAUCAAGUAUUUCCCUAGCAAACUUAAUUAAUUGAAGUGAAUACGCAAUUUGGAAAUUAAUUAACAUCAGAGAGGAAUCGAAUUCGAAAAAAUGGAGGUUAGACAGAGAGAUAGAAUACAUGGAUCGACAACCAGACCAAUUUUCCAAAUUUCAUCCCCCCCUUUCAUCCUUUGGUUGUCGCCUGAUGGUAUCUACCGAUCGAUGUUAAUUAACAUUUGUACGUCUGAAUCGGAGACAAACGAGCAAGCACCACGAGAAUGAAUUCAAUUAAUUCUCGGACGUUGUCCGGUGUUAAUUAAUGAAUCGGCCACGUGACGAAUGGAAAAUGCAUUUAGAAGAAAGGAAAAAUUCCGUGGAAUAAGUGUGGACUAAUGUUUUUCGAUCAGUAUUAUCAAAUUGAAGAAUAACGAAUGGAAGUUUCGUCACUUUUAUCGAUAAUCGAGAAACAAGAUUUCAAUUAUUCUACGAUUCUUUUGUAUUUUAAAUUCCAUCAUCAAAUAAAUUUUUAAUUCUAAAGAAGAAUCAAGAAUAUAAUUCAACGUGAUCGUGACACGAUACGAAGUAAACAUCAAAUGAGUAGAUUUUCGACUUGAAAAAACAACCAAGGAUAACAAAACAUUGGAAGAAAUCGAAAACGAAGAUAGUCCAUUGGUGCGCGAUGCUUGUGAUAAUUGGAGAAAAGAAGCGACAAUAAAACGUGGAUGAGUUGACUUUCGUGUUGGAAAAAAAUCGAUCGAUCGGAAAUUCCCGGAAGCGGAAACUCGUUCCACGCGCGAGCUCGCGGUACGGCUCGACAAUUAACUCUCUGCCGGAUUUUCCACCAAUUUCCUGGCUGAAUUAAUCACCGCUGGCCGGUAUCAACGCUCGAAAUUUGGAGCGGCGCCGGUUAAACGCGAUCCGGAGACGUAAUUGCAACGAGCCGGAUAGAUUAUGCGACUGUUCUGUACGCCGGCCACCUUUAUUAUGCCAUUCCCUUCGUCUCUUUACAUCGAUUUUCUCCACUUUCCAACCCAAUUAACCAAAAAUUUCCUACGCCUCCCUUUUCUCCCUCUUUCCUUCUUUCUUAUGGACUUUUCAGCAAUUUUGAAAGGAACGAACGAAAUGAACGCAGUGGAGGGCCUGACGAAGCUGUGUUCGAUUCGAAAUCGAAGAGCUUGUUGCGUCUCUCCUUGAGAAAUUCUUGAAAAAGUUGGUAAAAGGUACGAAGUAUUCUUAAUCUCGAAAGUUUUGUCCAAUCUCGUUAUUAAACUUAAAUUUUAAUUUUUAGAAACAAGAGGAUCCAUCGAUUUUUAUCCGUCGAGUGAAAAAAUGGAUUCAUCCUCGUGUCAAAAGAGCGAUUCAAUGUUUGGUGUAAUUCACGUAUAUUUACCUUCGACUUCGUUCGACAAAUCCACUUUUCUACAAAUUUUAAUUGUCUCCGGAAAGAAAAGAAAAACUAAAAACUUCUCACGAGUUGGAAAAAGUUUGUUCGAUCCUCGAGAGAUUCGAUUCCUCUCGUUGAGCACCACCAGGUUUUCACGGGGGAAAAAUCGGGAAAUUACUCGAGAGUCCAGUGAUUCUCGACCACCUUGGAUCUUUAAUUCCACUCCUGUUAAUAAUGCAAGUGUCGUAGUCGAACUUGGAAUUUCAUUAUCUGGCGAGAGUACUUUGUUUCGUUGCGUGAAAACGAGAGAAAGGGCGGAAGAAAAAUAAAAGAUUGGAAUUUAAUCGGAAUUCUUCGAUCGUCGCGUGGAAAAAUUGUGAUUCUGAAGAUUUUGCACUACGUUCAAAUCUUCUUUCGAUUAUCGAUAAAGCGGAAAAACGAAAUUGUUAUUCGUCGAUUUGGUUGUAUCAUAGUUGGAUAAUUGUUAUUUAAAUUUAUUCCUAAUGGAUACGAAAUGUAAUGUUUAUAUAUUAUCCAUUCUAGCGAUAGAAACAAAUACAAAAGAUAUAUUGGUAUACAGAAAUAUCGUGAGGCUUGUUUAUCAAAUUAAGAAAAAAGUUUCAUCAUAGACAUUUGUGUGUUCAAUAUUACCUCCAGAUGAACUCCAAAAAGCUAGUUAUUUAUUCAAAAGAUUGCAAGAUAUUUACUAAAACGUAAAAUAAGUAGAGAAUAAUUAAUUACACGAUCCCGAAGAAAAAAAAAUUGCAAUAAUAAUUAUCGAUAUUAAAGACCAUUCCAUAAAUUUUCCAUUCACCAAUGGUAUUUAAAUUGUUAAUUGAUUAACAAUUGUCACACGAGACUUUCGAUAAAUCUAUUGCGAACUCGUCCAAUUGGAAAUUUAAAUUAUUCAUAAAAUGCAAAUGGCAUCAAGUUUCUUCGAGGCUCCCUCUAUUGAGAACUUAAGCCGCGCGGGAUCCAACGUGCGAGCUUAAGCGAUCUGGGCGCCAUUGUGCUGUUACGAAUCCAACAUGGCGUCGGUACAUAUAUAACCUUGGCGUAUUCCACGGGUUGUACCAGUGAUGAACCAGGGUCCACUCCAGAACGGGAGUUACGACAUCCGUAAACUAUUCCUCGACUUAGUCAUUAUGGGGGGGCUAGAUUAUUCCAAGUUCUAAGCCGAGUUGAGUUCUAAAUUCACGAUGGCGAUAUUCCUCGACCAUAACCCGGCAUGUUUAACUUGCGAUAAGCCUGCAUUAUGCCGAAGCAAAGUUGCUCUAAGCGCCAUUAUGCUUGGAAUUUAGAUUACAGCUCGACCAAUUUAGGUUAUGAACCAAUUUACCAAAAAUAACGGAGGAUAAAAAUUGUGGUGGAUUUUUGGAUUUUUUUUCCGAGAUUCGAAAGAAUUGGAAGAGAAUUGGAUGCGAUCUUGCGAGAUACUUUCAAUUGAAAAGAUCGAAAUGAGAAAUUUCAGAGGUUGUUUUGUAAUACGAGAAUAUAAAAGCAGCAGAACUGAGCUAAAUUGUUAUG